AGCGGCGGACGGGUGAGUUUGGCGGGGGUAACCUGCCCUAUACACACGGAUAACAUACCGAAAGGUAUGCUAAUACGAGAUAAUAUAAGAGAUUCACAUGGAUUUCUUAUCAAAGCUGAGGCGGUAUAGGAUGGACCCGCGUCUGAUUAGCUAGUUGGUAAGGUAACGGCUUACCAAGGCGACGAUCAGUAGCCGACCUGAGAGGGUGAUCGGCCACAUUGGAACUGAGACACAGUCCAAACUCCUACGGGAGGCAGCAGUGGGGAAUAUUGCACAAUGGGCGAAAGCCUGAUGCAGCAACGCCGCGUGAGUGAUGAAGGCCUUCGAGUCGUAAAACUCUGUCCUCAAGGAAGAUAAUGACGGUACUUGAGGAGGAAGCCCCGGCUAACUACGUGCCAGCAGCCGCGGUAAUACGUAGGGGGCUAGCGUUAUCCGGAUUUACUGGGCGUAAAGGGUGCGUAGGUGGUCUCUUAAGUCAGGAGUGAAAGGCUACGGCUUAACCGUAGUAAGCUCUUGAAACUGGGAGACUUGAGUGCAGGAGAGGAAAGUGGAAUUCCUAGUGUAGCGGUGAAAUGCGUAGAUAUUAGGAGGAACACCAGUAGCGAAGGCGGCUUUCUGGACUGUAACUGACACUGAGGCACGAAAGCGUGGGGAGCAAACAGGAUUAGAUACCCUGGUAGUCCACGCUGUAAACGAUGAGUACUAGGUGU
This 710-nucleotide ribosomal RNA is filed under the name uncultured bacterium. Its description in RNAcentral is "bacterial SSU rRNA". It matches the Rfam family "Bacterial small subunit ribosomal RNA", at positions 94 to 823 of the family's 1533-position model. The record is from RNAcentral.